RNAcentral lists this transfer RNA (84 nucleotides) under Halogranum tailed virus 1. Its description in RNAcentral is "Halovirus HGTV-1 tRNA". It matches the Rfam family "tRNA". From Rfam's summary of the family: Transfer RNA (tRNA) molecules are approximately 80 nucleotides in length. The record is from Rfam by way of RNAcentral. Lineage: Duplodnaviria; Heunggongvirae; Uroviricota; Caudoviricetes; Thumleimavirales; Halomagnusviridae.
GAGUCGGUACGAGAAAUGGUUAAACUCACGAGGCUUAGGACCUCGCGCUUUAGUGCUUUGCAGGUUCGAAUCCUGCCCGGCUCA